UAGGGAAUCUUCGGCAAUGGGGGGAACCCUGACCGAGCAACGCCGCGUGAGUGAAGAAGGCUUUCGGAUCGUAAAGCUCUGUUGUUAAGGAAGAACGAGUGUGAGAAUGGAAAGUUCAUGCUGUGACGGUACUUAACCAGAAAGGGACGGCUAACUACGUGCCAGCAUCCGCGGUAAUACGUAUGGAGCAAGCGUUAUCCGGAUUCAUUGGGCGUAAAGCGCUCGUAGGCGGUCUGUUAGGUCGGAAAGUUAAAUCCGGGGGCUCAACCCCCGUCCGCUUCCGAUACCGGCAGACUUGAGUUUGGUAGGGGAAGGUGGAAUUCCUAGUGUAGCGGUGGAAUGCGCAGAUAUUAGGAAGAACACCGGUGGCGAAGGCGGCCUUCUGGGCCAUAACUGACGCUGAGGAGCGAAAGCUAGGGGAGCGAACAGG
This 430-nucleotide ribosomal RNA is filed under the name Verrucomicrobiota bacterium. RNAcentral describes it as "Verrucomicrobia bacterium partial 16S ribosomal RNA". It matches the Rfam family "Bacterial small subunit ribosomal RNA", at positions 355 to 776 of the family's 1533-position model. Lineage: Bacteria; Pseudomonadati; Verrucomicrobiota. The record is from RNAcentral.